ACACGUGAGCAAUCUGCCCCUGACUCUGGGAUAAGCGCUGGAAACGGCGUCUAAUACCGGAUACGAGCUGCGACCGCAUGGUCAGUAGCUGGAAAGAAUUUCGGUCAGGGAUGAGCUCGCGGCCUAUCAGCUUGUUGGUGAGGUAAUGGCUCACCAAGGCGUCGACGGGUAGCCGGCCUGAGAGGGUGACCGGCCACACUGGGACUGAGACACGGCCCAGACUCCUACGGGAGGCAGCAGUGGGGAAUAUUGCACAAUGGGCGCAAGCCUGAUGCAGCAACGCCGCGUGAGGGAUGACGGCCUUCGGGUUGUAAACCUCUUUUAGCAGGGAAGAAGCGAAAGUGACGGUACCUGCAGAAAAAGCGCCGGCUAACUACGUGCCAGCAGCCGCGGUAAUACG
Molecule: ribosomal RNA, 400 nt
Filed under: Microbacterium sp.
Lineage: Bacteria; Bacillati; Actinomycetota; Actinomycetes; Micrococcales; Microbacteriaceae
Description: bacterial SSU rRNA
Rfam family: Bacterial small subunit ribosomal RNA
Source: RNAcentral